Molecule: ribosomal RNA, 429 nt
Filed under: Acidobacteriota bacterium
Lineage: Bacteria; Pseudomonadati; Acidobacteriota
Description: Acidobacteria bacterium partial 16S ribosomal RNA
Rfam family: Bacterial small subunit ribosomal RNA
Source: RNAcentral
UGGGGAAUUUUGGACAAUGGGGGAAACCCUGAUCCAGCCAUCCCGCGUGUGCGAUGAAGGCCUUCGGGUUGUAAAGCACUUUUGGCAGGAAAGAAACGUCAUGGGUUAAUACCCCGUGAAACUGACGGUACCUGCAGAAUAAGCACCGGCUAACUACGUGCCAGCAGCCGCGGUAAUACGUAGGGUGCAAGCUUUAAUCGGAAUUACUGGGCGUAAAGCGUGCGCAGGCGGUUCGGAAAGAAAGAUGUGAAAUCCCAGAGCUCAACUUUGGAACUGCAUUUUUAACUACCGGGCUAGAGUGUGUCAGAGGGAGGUGGAAUUCCGCGUGUAGCAGUGAAAUGCGUAGAUAUGCGGAGGAACACCGAUGGCGAAGGCAGCCUCCUGGGAUAACACUGACGCUCAUGCACGAAAGCGUGGGGAGCAAACAGG